RNAcentral lists this transfer RNA (72 nucleotides) under Camelus bactrianus (Bactrian camel). It matches the Rfam family "tRNA". Rfam says of the family: Transfer RNA (tRNA) molecules are approximately 80 nucleotides in length. The record is from Rfam by way of RNAcentral. RNAcentral also lists the same sequence under 2 other names. Lineage: Eukaryota; Metazoa; Chordata; Mammalia; Artiodactyla; Camelidae.
GAUGGUUGAGGUCAGUGGUAGAUCAUGUGCUUAGCAUGCAUGAGUUUCUGGGUUCAAUCCCCAGUACCUCCA